This 253-nucleotide ribosomal RNA is filed under the name uncultured bacterium. RNAcentral describes it as "partial 16S ribosomal RNA". It matches the Rfam family "Bacterial small subunit ribosomal RNA", at positions 524 to 776 of the family's 1533-position model. The record is from RNAcentral.
UACAGAGGUCCCAAGCGUUGUUCGGAUUCACUGGGCGUAAAGGGUGCGUAGGUGGCCGGGUAAGUCGGAUGUGAAAUCUCCGAGCUCAACUCGGAAAUGGCAUUGGAAACUACCCAGCUCGAGGGUUGGAGGGGGGACUGGAAUGCUUGGUGUAGCAGUGAAAUGCGUAGAUAUCAAGCGGAACACCAGUGGCGAAGGCGAGUCCCUGGACAACUCCUGACACUGAGGCACGAAAGCUAGGGGAGCAAACAGG